RNAcentral lists this non-coding RNA (48 nucleotides) under Leclercia adecarboxylata. RNAcentral's name for it is "Guanidine-II sequence". It matches the Rfam family "Guanidine-II riboswitch aptamer (mini-ykkC)". From Rfam's summary of the family: Simpler in structure and has fewer highly conserved nucleotide positions than the ykkC-yxkD leader. Despite this each of its two stem-loop structures directly bind free guanidine. The record is from RNAcentral. Lineage: Bacteria; Pseudomonadati; Pseudomonadota; Gammaproteobacteria; Enterobacterales; Enterobacteriaceae. RNAcentral also lists the same sequence under 1 other name.
CCCCGUGGACGACCAUGCGGUGAGCCAAUUUUCGGCGGGACGACCCGC